GAUGAACGCUAGCUACAGGCUUAACACAUGCAAGUCGAGGGGAAACGAUGAGAGAGCUUGCUCUCUUAGGCGUCGACCGGCGCACGGGUGAGUAACGCGUAUCCAACCUACCCAUUACAGGGGGAUAACCUUGCGAAAGUAAGACUAAUACCCCAUGGCAUUUUAUGGUGGCAUCAUUAUAGGAUUAAAGAUUUAUUGGUAAUGGAUGGGGAUGCGUCUGAUUAGCUUGUUGGCGGGGUAACGGCCCACCAAGGCAACGAUCAGUAGGGGUUCUGAGAGGAAGGUCCCCCACAUUGGAACUGAGACACGGUCCAAACUCCUACGGGAGGCAGCAGUGAGGAAUAUUGGUCAAUGGGCGAGAGCUUGAACCAGCCAAGUAGCGUGCAGGAUGACGGCCCUAGGGGUUGUAAACUGCUUUUAUAGGGGAAUAAAGUGAGCUACGUGUAGUUUAUUGCAUGUACCCUAUGAAUAAGAACCGGCUAAUUCCGUG
This 490-nucleotide ribosomal RNA is filed under the name uncultured bacterium. RNAcentral describes it as "partial 16S ribosomal RNA". It matches the Rfam family "Bacterial small subunit ribosomal RNA", at positions 28 to 507 of the family's 1533-position model. The record is from RNAcentral.